CAGUAGCCGCGGGAAAACGUAGGGUGCAAGCGUUAAUCGGAAUUACUGGGCGUAAAGCGUGCGCAGGCGGUUAUAUAAGUCAGAUGUGAAAUCCCCGGGCUCAACCUGGGAACUGCAUUUGAGACUGUAUGGCUAGAGUGUGUCAGAGGGGGGUAGAAUUCCACGUGUAGCAGUGAAAUGCGUAGAUAUGUGGAGGAAUUCCGAUGGCGAAGGCAGCCCCCUGGGAUAACACUGACGCUCAUGCACGAAAGCGUGGGGAGCAAACAGGAUUAGAUACCCCAGUAGUCCCUGUCUCUUAUAC
Molecule: ribosomal RNA, 301 nt
Filed under: uncultured bacterium
Lineage: Bacteria
Description: partial 16S ribosomal RNA
Rfam family: Bacterial small subunit ribosomal RNA
Source: RNAcentral